CCUACGGGAGGCUGCAGUAGGGAAUAUUGCUCAAUGGGGGAAACCCUGAAGCAGCAACGCCGCGUGGAGGAUGAAGGUUUUCGGAUUGUAAACUCCUUUUGUUAGAGAAGAUAAUGACGGUAUCUAACGAAUAAGCACCGGCUAACUCCGUGCCAGCAGCCGCGGUAAUACGGAGGGUGCAAGCGUUACUCGGAAUCACUGGGCGUAAAGAGCGCGUAGGCGGGAUAGCAAGUCAGAUGUGAAAUCCUAUGGCUUAACCAUAGAACUGCAUUUGAAACUGUUAUUCUAGAGUAUGGGAGAGGUAGGUGGAAUUCUUGGUGUAGGGGUAAAAUCCGUAGAGAUCAAGAGGAAUACUCAUUGCGAAGGCGACCUGCUAGAACGUAACUGACGCUGAUGCGCGAAAGCGUGGGUAGCAAACAGGAUUAGAUACCCUAGUAGUC
RNAcentral lists this ribosomal RNA (440 nucleotides) under uncultured bacterium. Its description in RNAcentral is "partial 16S ribosomal RNA". It matches the Rfam family "Bacterial small subunit ribosomal RNA", at positions 338 to 795 of the family's 1533-position model. The record is from RNAcentral.